Non-coding RNA from Lactuca sativa (garden lettuce), 510 nucleotides. The record is from RefSeq and is a predicted model, not a curated record. Lineage: Eukaryota; Viridiplantae; Streptophyta; Magnoliopsida; Asterales; Asteraceae.
UCAUUUAUUUACUGCUGCCAAUUUGUAUGCAUAUUCUUUCAUUAAAUGGGGUGAACUUCAACUUUAUUCUUAUCCGACAUAAAUUAAGAGUCAUUUUUAUUACAUUAUUUUUAGGGAGUAGAGUUGCAACUGGAAAAUGUUCAAGUUGUUGGUGUUUAUGGGUGGAGCAGUGAAUUUGUUAUUAUUUCAAUUGUGAGACCAUGCACGUGCUAAUCAAGAGCUAUCAUGGCAACCUUCAACAAUAGUUUUGGACAUGCACCUUCUUGCAGAAGAUAUCGUGUACGUGUUCUUGUGCUGCUAUUGUGGAUCCUUGCUUACUGGUUCAAUUGUAUGUAUCUCACGUGAAGCUUUUGUUAGAACUAUUAAUCUUAGGUAUUUCAAGUUUUUCAUAUUUCUUGUAUCUCGUUAGUUUGUAAAUUUCCGUUACAACUUUUAUUGAUUAGUUCUAUCUUUCCAUGGAACAACUAUUUGUAUGACAUUAAAUUUUAUGCAAUGAAUUGUAUUUUUGUA